Long non-coding RNA from Lycium barbarum (goji berry), 1490 nucleotides. RefSeq lists it as uncharacterized. The record is from RefSeq and is a predicted model, not a curated record. Lineage: Eukaryota; Viridiplantae; Streptophyta; Magnoliopsida; Solanales; Solanaceae. The transcript has 2 exons.
UUGACAUCCAAUGCAACCCAACAGGUUAAUCAGUGUAACCCUCGGCUACUUUAACUCUCUCCACCUCUUCCCAUUAGGUUAAAUCACUUUUUUUUUUCUCAAUUUCAACGGAUUCCCCUGUUUUCAAUUCUCUCUCUGCUUGGAACCUGUUGCUUCUUAUAGAAUUGAUGGAACAUAUAGAUGAAGUCGAAGAGUCGAUUGAAGUCAGCUCUAGAAGUGUAUGUAGGAAGACUUCUAAGGUAUGGGAUCACUUUUGGAAGUUACCACUUGACACUAAUCCGGAUAGUAGGUUGAGGGCAAAAUGUAAAGAAUGUGGUCAGGUAUAUUUGGCAGAUUCUACGGCCGGAACUUCAAACUUAAAGUGUCAUCGAGCUAAACGCCAUAGCCAUGUGUCAGAAUCGGGUCGUUAUCCAGUUGUGAAUAAUGAAAUGUUCCGUGAAUUGAUGGCCAAAGCUAUAGUAAGGCAUAGUUUACCUUUUACAUUUGUGGAAAAUGAAGGGAUAAGAGAGAUACUUAGUUUCUUGAAUCCUAUAGUUUCUUGAAUCCUACUGUCAAGACUAUUUCAAGAAAUACUUCAAAGGUUGAUGUUUUAAAAUUAUAUCAGAAGCAAAAAGAAAUAGUUCAUAAUGAAAUUGCAAAAAUUCCUAGUAGAGUGUGCUUGACUACUGAUUUGUGGACAUCAAUUACCUUAAAUGGUUACUUUGUUUGACAGCUCAUUAUGUUGACUUGAAUUGGAUUUUACAGAAGAGGAUUCUGAUAUUCCGUCAUGUGCCUCCUCCGCAUACUGGUCAAGUUUUGGGGCCAAUAUUGAUUAACUUUUUGAAGGAAUGGGGAAUCGAGAAGAAAAUAUUUUUGAUAACCUUAGAUAAUGCAAGUUACAAUGAGAAAAUUGUGGAUAGUUUGAAAGAGAACUCAAACUUGAUGGAUUCUUUGGUAUGUGACAGGGACUUUCUCCAUAUUCGUUGUGCAAAUCAUAUCUUAAAUCUGAUUGUGAAAGCAGGUCUAAAGUCAAUAGAAGCUUCCAUCUUUAACAUAAGAGAAAGUAUUAAAUAUGUGAAAGGUUCCGAGUCGAGGAUACUAAAGUUUGUGGAUUGUAUCAAGAAUCUUGGAUUGAAGUUGACCGGGAAAGUGCGUCAAGAUGUGCCUACGAGAUGGAACUACACAUUUCUUAUGAUUAACAGUGCAAUUCCUUAUCGUCGGGCCUUUUUUGACUUUAAAUUACUUGAUGUGAAAUUUAAAUGCUGCCCUUCAGAAAUGGAUUGGUAUAAGGCAGAAACAAUUGCCAAAUUCCUAAAACCUUUUGAUGAAAUCACUACUUUGUUCUCGGGAAGCCAAUAUCCGACGGCCAAUUUAUUUUUUCAGAAAGUGUGGGAAAUUCAUUUGUUGAUACUAUAAGAGAAAAAUAGUCAACACUCUGAUAUCAGGGAAAUGGCGGAGGAAAUGGAAAAGAAAUUUUCAAAGUAUUGGGAAGAGUAUACUCCAGUUUUAUC